CUGGGGGAGCUGGGGAGGGGCUUGCUUUGGUGACAGCUGCCACUUGGGGAUGGCAGGCUGCACUGCUGCAUGACCACUGCCCCCACGGGGUGUGGCCCGUGCAGAACCCUGGCAUGGUGCCAGCAGGGAGCGCUGGGCUCUGGCCUCCCAUGGGGGUUUUGGUGGACACUGAGAUCAGGUAAUGUCACAGUGAUGCAGCCCCAGCUGCAGUCCCACUGCCAGCCAGCAGCAGAAGGGGACCUGGGACCUCAGAGUGGCCUGGGCAGCCAGUGCCCCAUGAUGUCCUACUGGGAGCACUGGGAAGACCUGUCCUUGCAGGUGGCCAAAGACCUGCUUAGUGGUGUCCUGGGCUCCACUGCAGGCCAGGGUCUCCCCCUCAAGGAACCACCCUUUGUGCUGCUUCCUGGUGGAUAGAUUGCCCCCCACAUCUGGGUGGGUCCCUCUGGGCCUUUUUCACUCCUUCAGGGAGCAGGCGCCUCUACCCAGGAAAGCCUGAGGUGGGCCAGGUCGGGGGUCACCUCUGUGGUGGCCGACCGAGGACUCUGGAUCUGAGACGUGCUCCUGGGGUCUGGAGGUGCGUGUGAAGGCACCACAGAUUGGUCUCCAGGACACAGCUCUGGGGUGCUGCCUGGGCUGAGUGGCACUCACUGGCUGUGUUCAUGCCCCCGGACUUGGGCCCUUCUCUAAAGUCUGUCUGGAAUUGGCCACCAUUGUGACCAGAGGUCUCGCUGGUUCUUACUCCCAGAGGACCUUCCCCAUCCUGGAUGCACUGUGCCUUGGUACAAAUGCAGUCCCAGUGGAAUCUGGACGAGGCACAGGUGAGGUGUAGGUGCAAGGAAGGGCCAGGUCAGGGAGGGCCAGGUGCAGAGGAGGCCCCUGAAAGGAAAGUGACCACAACACUUGGAGCGACCGAGAGAUCUGUAUUGCACCAGUGAGAAAGAGGAGAAGAGAGAGAGAGAGAGAGAGAGAGAGAGAGAGAGAGAGAGAGAGAGAGAGAGAGAAGGUGAGAGGGAGAGAGAGAGGAAAGUGAGAGAAAGAGAUAGGGAAAGUGAGAAAGAAUGAAAUAGAGAGAGAGCAAGAGAGAUUGAAAAGCAAGAGAGAGAGGCCCCAGCAGGAGGGAAUUUUUAUAGCCCAAAUCUCAUGGGGUCUCUGGGUCUGCAAGCUGCCCUGUUGGUGUACAGUGAUCGGAGCAUAUGGUAGUUUCUAAGGGUGUCGUCUUCUACCCUCAGGAAGAUGGGGCAGGGGUCAGAUGUGGGUUUCCUACAUGGUUGGGGGUCAAGUGUACAGCCGCGAGUGGGGUUGAGUGUUCAGACUUGAUGCAAACAGGUGAUAAAGGACCAGCGGGGGGGUGGUGGCGUUGAGUGCCUGGGUUAUCCUGCAGCUAACAUUCCUUCAGCGUACCCUGCAGACAACUUAGUUGUCUGCCCUGCACCUAACAGCCCAGGUCCAGGAGGGGCUCAGGAACAGAGGAGGCCCAUGUGCAGGGGAGGGGCAGGUGCAGAGGAGGCCAGGGUCAAGGGGAGGCCCAGAUGCAGAAGAGACCCAUGUGCAGGGGAGGGGCAGG
Molecule: long non-coding RNA, 1564 nt
Filed under: Marmota monax (woodchuck)
Lineage: Eukaryota; Metazoa; Chordata; Mammalia; Rodentia; Sciuridae
Source: RNAcentral